Molecule: small nuclear RNA, 105 nt
Organism: Suncus etruscus (white-toothed pygmy shrew)
Lineage: Eukaryota; Metazoa; Chordata; Mammalia; Eulipotyphla; Soricidae
Source: RefSeq, a predicted model, not a curated record
GUGUUCGCUUCGGCAGCACAUAUACUAAAAUUGGAACGAUACAGAGAAGAUUAGCAUGGCCCCUGCGCAAGAAACUGAAAUAUGAAAGUGUUCUCUGAUGCAUUU